This 253-nucleotide ribosomal RNA is filed under the name uncultured bacterium. RNAcentral's name for it is "partial 16S ribosomal RNA". It matches the Rfam family "Bacterial small subunit ribosomal RNA", at positions 524 to 776 of the family's 1533-position model. The record is from RNAcentral.
UACGUAGGGUGCGAGCGUUAAUCGGAAUUACUGGGCGUAAAGCGAGCGCAGACGGUUAUUUAAGCAGGAUGUGAAAUCCCCGGGCUUAACCUGGGAACUGCGUUCUGAACUGGAUAGCUAGAGUGUGUCAGAGGGGGGUAGAAUUCCACGUGUAGCAGUGAAAUGCGUAGAGAUGUGGAGGAAUACCGAUGGCGAAGGCAGCCCCCUGGGAUAAUACUGACGUUCAUGCUCGAAAGCGUGGGUAGCAAACAGG